Molecule: small RNA, 174 nt
Filed under: Syntrophaceticus schinkii
Lineage: Bacteria; Bacillati; Bacillota; Clostridia; Thermoanaerobacterales; Thermoanaerobacterales Family III. Incertae Sedis
Description: c-di-AMP sequence
Rfam family: c-di-AMP riboswitch aptamer (ydaO/yuaA leader)
About the family: This family represents a conserved RNA structure found upstream of the ydaO and yuaA genes in Bacillus subtilis and related genes in other bacteria. The ydaO/yuaA element is thought to act as a genetic "off" switch for the ydaO and yuaA genes in its native state. It is believed that the element may be triggered during osmotic shock leading to activation of ydaO, a predicted amino acid transporter gene, and members of the yuaA-yubG operon which code for KtrA and KtrB K+ transporters.
Source: Rfam by way of RNAcentral
UGACCAGUAACGCUGAGUUCUCCUGGGGAGAAGCGGGGAAACCAAUUUUAGGGGUGAAUCCUCGGCACUUUAGCAGCACAUUUUGUCAUUCGAUGUGAGUGAGUGAGUGUCAGGUAGGGUUACCUUGCAACCCGAACCCGUCAGCUAACCUCGUAAGCGUGGGAAGGAAAGCCA